UAGUCACACAGGUAGACCAUAGCUCC
This 26-nucleotide non-coding RNA is filed under the name Mus musculus (house mouse). The record is from RNAcentral. Lineage: Eukaryota; Metazoa; Chordata; Mammalia; Rodentia; Muridae.